CAGCACUCCAGAUGUUUUGGACUACACCUCCCAUGAUGCUUUGCCAGCAUUAUGGGGGAUGUAGUCCACAACAUCUGGAGUGCCG
Molecule: non-coding RNA, 85 nt
Organism: Pelobates cultripes (western spadefoot toad)
Lineage: Eukaryota; Metazoa; Chordata; Amphibia; Anura; Pelobatidae
Source: the annotation of a GenBank genome assembly